This is a long non-coding RNA of Gasterosteus aculeatus aculeatus (three-spined stickleback), 1866 nucleotides long. The record is from Ensembl. NCBI's taxonomy places the organism in Eukaryota, Metazoa, Chordata, Actinopteri, Perciformes, Gasterosteidae.
CAUAUCUGUGCGGAAGGGAAGAGAUGAAAAGAGUCGACGUGGAUAAAUUAUAUAAAAUGCAAAAGCUGGAUCUUAAAGCUCAAAUCUGCAAUGUGACUGGGGUUCCAUUGUGGUAGAUUCAGCCUCCAGCAUGUACGUGGACAAAUAACACAAAUAAAACAGGUAAAGAGUACCUCCGCGGACCCCCUGUUGAAGGCCUCUGUCUCAUAAGAUGUGACAGAAUUAUCCAGUUCCAAGGGAAAAACCCUCUACCAACCCCACCAGUGGAGGUUGUUGUUUCUGAACCACUACUAAAGUUAGUGUACUCCACCCUCCGGUACCUCCAUCAUUGCUGCAAACAGGAGGAAAGCUACUUACAGGUUAAUAUACGUUAUUAUAUACAUAUAUCAUGCAGAUAUGUAUUAAACUAAAUGUUUUUGUCUCUUUCUCUCAACAUGCUGUUGCAGAUGAGGAACUAAAUAGUUGAUGGAAAAUUUGAUCAUCACCAUCUCUCCUUCGUCUUCUAGAAAUGACACAACUACAUUUACAAAUAACAGACCUAUGAACUAUUUCCUCUUUGGAUAUGUGGUUUAAAGGUUUUGCUGCCAAUUCACACCUCUAAAUAAACCUCUGAUGACAUCAGGACCACAGAGAGCCGUCACAUCUCCCACCGCAAAAUAAAGACACACCUCUACCUCGACUAAAGGACUAACAAAUUGUAGCACUUAAAUUCUACUUAUAACGCCACUAAUCUAUAGCAAACUAACUUAUUUGAUAAAAUCACACUUUCUUGUUUGUAUCCCUACGGUUGAAUGCACUUAUUGUAAGUCGCUUUGGAUAAAAGCGGCAGCUAAAUAACUUGUAAUGUAAAACAAGAUGUGUGGCUGUGGUGUCACACGACCAUGACUCACGACAGAGCUGAUCCGCUUCUACAGAGAUGCAUGAUAUCAUGUUUUAAAGAUAAGAAGUAGAAAUUAAGUUCAAUAAACUGCAUAAACAGUUUAUUUACAAAUUGAUGCAACAUGUUUCUAGUAAAACAUUGUGAUUACAAAGAACAGCAACAACCACAAAGUUAAUAGAUGUGUAAAGGUCUGACAAACAAGUUCCCCUCUCUGAUCCGCUCCUCCUCAUUUUAAUACUGCAAGUAGAAAAGAUUAAAUCAUUCAUUUUAGUAAAGAGAAGGUACAGAACGGCCUCUGGGUAGAACGUUUCUGUGUCCAAACUUUAUCACUAUUGGAAAACUUUGGCACUUCUACAAAUGAAAUCACCUCACAGUGCAACAAGCAGACCAUGCAGUGCAUUAGUGCACGUGACGUGAACCCUGAUCAGAUGGUUGUAGAUCUCGGAGCACGCUGCCAGGAAUUGAGUCCCUGGUACUGAGCAAAGAAGUCAAAGACUAAGAAGAGUUUUAACUUCAAAAACAGGUUGUAUUGAAAACACAUCGAACUGAAACUUUGCAUCUACUAAACAACAUGAUGUGAUAUGUAUGAUACUUUGGUUAAACCAUGUUUAAACUGCAGCAGAAGGAACACAGUUUCAUGUUCUAGUGCUGUAGAAGUGAACAGGGGAGGAAAAGGCAUUCACUAUUCUACGGGAGGCUGAUGAGUUUCACAGAGGUGGACUAAACUAUCAGAGGCCUGAUUGGUGCUCACAGACUGGAUCGGCCUUAAACAGCUAACAACUAAUAUGAGAUGUAUUUAAAGUUGAGGAGAGAUGGUUAGCAGUGAUCUAAGACAUGUUGUCAAUACCUUUCAGUGGAAUGAGUGUCAGCAUUGUGUUCAACGCUUAUUCGUUAGAAAGGAGCUAAAAACUGCUGUUGUUAAUUUGGUCAUUUGAGCUUCGUGUGAAAGGGAAGGAAGUUAAAAUGAAGAAGAGGAGGAGAAAAUG